AGAGUUUGAUCAUGGCUCAGGAUGAACGCUAGCGGCAGGCUUAAUACAUGCAAGUCGAGGGGCAACAGGGGUAGCGAUACCUGCUGGCGACCGGCAAACGGGUGCGCAACACGUACAGAACCUUCCUUUAAGCGGGGGAUAGCCCAUAGAAAUGUGGAUUAAUACCCCAUAGUAUUAUUGUCUGGCAUCAGGUAAUAAUUAAAGAUUUAUCACUUAGAGAUGGCUGUGCGUCUGAUUAGGUAGUUGGUAUGGGUAACGGCCUACCAAGCCUUCGAUCAGUAACUGGUGUGAGAGCACGACCAGUCACACGGGCACUGAGACACGGGCCCGACUCCUACGGGAGGCAGCAGUAAGGAAUAUUGGUCAAUGGAGGCAACUCUGAACCAGCCAUGCCGCGUGAAGGAUGAAGGUCCUCUGGAUUGUAAACUUCUUUUAUGUGGGAAGAAAUGUCCGGAUUAUUCUGGAUUUGACGGUACCAUAGGAAUAAGCACCGGCUAACUCCGUGCCAGCAGCCGCGGUAAUACGGAGGGUGCGAGCGUUAUCCGGAUUCACUGGGUUUAAAGGGUGCGUAGGUGGGUCUGUAAGUCAGUGGUGAAAUCUCCGUGCUUAACAUGGAAACUGCCAUUGAUACUAUAGGUCUUGAAUUUUCCGGAGGUUAGCGGAAUAUGUCAUGUAGCGGUGAAAUGCUUAGAUAUGACAUAGAACACCAAUUGCGAAGGCAGCUAACUACAGGGAUAUUGACACUGAGGCACGAAAGCGUGGGGAUCAAACAGGAUUAGAUACCCCCGUAGUCC
RNAcentral lists this ribosomal RNA (794 nucleotides) under uncultured Segetibacter sp. Its description in RNAcentral is "bacterial SSU rRNA". It matches the Rfam family "Bacterial small subunit ribosomal RNA", at positions 8 to 796 of the family's 1533-position model. Lineage: Bacteria; Pseudomonadati; Bacteroidota; Chitinophagia; Chitinophagales; Chitinophagaceae. The record is from RNAcentral.